This 440-nucleotide ribosomal RNA is filed under the name uncultured bacterium. Its description in RNAcentral is "partial 16S ribosomal RNA". It matches the Rfam family "Bacterial small subunit ribosomal RNA", at positions 338 to 795 of the family's 1533-position model. The record is from RNAcentral.
CCUACGGGAGGCAGCAGUGGGGGAUAUUGCACAAUGGGGGGAACCCUGAUGCAGCGACGCCGCGUGGGUGAAGAAGCGCCUCGGCGCGUAAAGCCCUGUCAGCAGGGAAGAAAAUGACGGUACCUGAAGAAGAAGCCCCGUCUAACUACGUGCCAGCAGCCGCGGUAAUACGUAGGGGGCAAGCGUUAUCCGGAUUUACUGGGUGGAAAGGGGGCGCAGACGGCGAUGCAAGCCAGGAGGGAAAGCCCGGGGCCCAACCCCGGGACUGCUCUUGGAACUGGGUGGCUGGAGUGCGGGAGGGGCAGGCGGAAUUCCUGGUGUAGCGGUGAAAUGCGUAGAUAUCAGGAGGAACACCGGUGGCGAAGGCGGCCUGCUGGACUGCAACUGACGUUGAGGCCCGAAAGCGUGGGGAGCAAACAGGAUUAGAUACCCCAGUAGUC